UACGGAGGGUGCGAGCGUUGUUCGGAAUUAUUGGGCGUAAAGCGCACGUAGGCGGCUCGGUAAGUCUCACUGUGAAAGCCCGGGGCUCAACCCCGGGAGGCCAGGGGAUACUGUCGAGCUGGAGACAGGCAGAGGCUGGUAGAAUUUCGGGUGUAGCGGUGGAAUGCGUAGAGAUCCGAAGGAAUACCGGAGGCGAAGGCGGCCAGCUGGGCCUGAUCUGACGCUGAGGUGCGAAAGCGUGGGGAGCGAACAGG
This 254-nucleotide unclassified non-coding RNA is filed under the name uncultured Gemmatimonadota bacterium. Its description in RNAcentral is "uncultured Gemmatimonadetes bacterium contains 16S-23S intergenic spacer region". It matches the Rfam family "Bacterial small subunit ribosomal RNA", at positions 524 to 776 of the family's 1533-position model. The record is from RNAcentral. Lineage: Bacteria; Pseudomonadati; Gemmatimonadota.